UUCGGCGUCGAGAGGGUCACACGCGUUCCCAUCCCGAACACGGAAGUUCCGGCCUCUUGGAGCCAAUGGUACUGCGCGGGCAACUGCGUGGGAGAGUAGGAAGCCGCCGGGA
RNAcentral lists this ribosomal RNA (112 nucleotides) under Acidobacteriota bacterium. The record is from RNAcentral. Lineage: Bacteria; Pseudomonadati; Acidobacteriota.